This 594-nucleotide long non-coding RNA is filed under the name Homo sapiens (human). Its description in RNAcentral is "non-protein coding lnc-RBFOX2-1:1". Lineage: Eukaryota; Metazoa; Chordata; Mammalia; Primates; Hominidae. The record is from RNAcentral.
UUCUCAAGGUCACACAGCAAGCAGUGAAACCAGGAUUCAAAUGCAGCCUUCAGGGUAGACCGAGGAGAGCACCUCCCCUUCCUGGUGAAGGGAGCCCGAUACACGCUGGUGCCGGCUGGCCAAGAAGGAGGUGGACAAACCUGGCGACCGCUCCCUGGCACCACCUCACCAGAGGACAGCUCACACCUCCACAGGGGUCAGAAGAAAGGAGCUGCCCUGGGGAUGGCUGUGUAUCCCUACAACUGCCAGGCACAUGCCCCUUGAACACCCGAUGCUACGUGUCCCAAAGGAAACUGGUCUCCACCCACCCCCGGCCCGUCCUCGUCCUGGGUACCCCACCUUAGUAAAUGGCGCCACCAUCUGCCCGGUCACUCAGCGAGAAACUCAACUCCUGGCAGCAGAUGACGGGCACUCUGGUUAAAUGACUCUCUCCAGCCUCCAAGUUCAACCUGCAGGGAAGCCCUGGAAAUCCUGUCUCCCUCUGCCCUGCCUCUCCUUCAGCUCCGAACCCCACCCCACUCAGUACAUGGCCCCCCAACAGGCUUUCAAAUGUCUGCCUUCCCCAAACCAAUCUGUGGUUUUAAAAGAAGUAAG